Non-coding RNA from Aedes aegypti (yellow fever mosquito), 44 nucleotides. The record is from Rfam. NCBI's taxonomy places the organism in Eukaryota, Metazoa, Arthropoda, Insecta, Diptera, Culicidae.
CAAACGGCCCUUUUCAGGGCCACCAAUAUGUUAAAGAGUUGACG